CCAGAGGAUACUGUGGAGGUCAAGAAACAGAGACUUGCCAAAAUUAUGGCCGUUAGUCAGGAGAUCGGUGCCCUUGGUGACCUUCCCCCAGAAGUGAAGAAGGAUAUGCCCCAACCUAAAUUUCAAGCUGGAGACAUGGCGGGCUGUAUGGUUAUGUGAUUUCCAUCCGCAGACCCCCCUUCAAAUAAUCCUGGAU
This is a long non-coding RNA of Lingula anatina, 196 nucleotides long. The record is from RefSeq and is a predicted model, not a curated record. NCBI's taxonomy places the organism in Eukaryota, Metazoa, Brachiopoda, Lingulata, Lingulida, Lingulidae.